CUCAGAGGCAAAUAUGUUACUUUUUAUUCAACCACAGUUUUUCAAUUUUUCAUUUCCCAUGUGUCCAGUGAAAACCUUGUAUCUCCACAUUUGGUGAAUUAAAGUUUCAGAUAAACUGAAGGCUGAAGUGUUCCUUUAUGGGUUGAGAAAAUGUUAGAACAGGGUUGGAUCUGAAGCCUGCAGGACAGUCGCUAUCCAGGAGCAAGUGGGUUUUCCUGACUGGACCAUUAGUGUUUGGACUGGAGUGAGUGCAUUUCUGAUUCAGCAAACCACCCCUCCCUCUUAUCAAAACAUGGUCACACCCAGCCCC
Molecule: long non-coding RNA, 310 nt
Organism: Cyprinus carpio carpio
Lineage: Eukaryota; Metazoa; Chordata; Actinopteri; Cypriniformes; Cyprinidae
Source: Ensembl